CGGAAUUCCGCGCCGGGAAUCGCGGGGAAUGAAUGUCCGCGUGGGGAUCUCGGGGAAGAAAUGUCCAGGUGGGAUCAGACUGGGAAUAACUGGGAAUGUCCAGGUGGGAUCACGGUGGGAGUGAUGGGAACGUCCAGGUGGGAUCACGGUGGGAAUCACGGGAAUGUCCAGGUGGGAAUCGCUGGGAAUAAAUAUCCAGAUGGGAUCACGGUGGGAAUAAUUGGGAACAUCCAGGUGGAUCACACUGGGAAUCACAGGAACAUCCAGGUGGGAUCAGUCUGGGAAUCAGAGAGAACAUCCAGGUGGGAUCACACUGGGAAUCACGGGAACAUCCAGGUGGGAUCAGACUGGGAAUCACGGGAACAUCCAGGUGGGAUCAGUCUGGGAAUCAGAGAGAACAUCCAGGUGGGAUCACACUGGGAAUCACGGGAAUAUCCAGGUGGGAUCAAACUGGGAAUCAGGGAGAACAUCCAGGUGGGAUCAGACUGGGAAUCACAGGAACAUCCAGGUGGGAUCACACUGGGAAUCAGGGGAACAUCUAGGUGGGAUCACACUGGGAAUCACGGGAACAUCCAGGUGGGAUCCCACUGGGAAUCAGAGAGAACAUCCAGGUGGGAUCCCACUGGGAAUCAGGGGAACAUCCAGGUGGGAUCAUGGUGGGAAUCAGGGGAACAUCCAGGUGGGAUCCCACUGGGAAUCACGGGAACAUCCAGGUGGGAUCAGACUGGGAAUCAGAGAGAACAUCCAGGUGGGACGAGGAACAUCCAGGUGGGAUCAUGGUGGGAAUCAGGGGAACAUCCAGGUGGGAUCAGAGUGGGAAUCACAGGAACAUCCAGGUGUGAUCACACUGGGAAUCAGGGGAACAUCCAGGUGGGAUCACAAACAUCCAGGUGUGAUCACACUGGGAAUCAGGGGAACAUCCAGGUGGGAUCACACUGGGAAUCACGGGAAUAUCCAGGUGUGAUCAAACUGGGAAUCAGGGGAAUAUCCAGGUGGGAUCACACUGGGAAUCACGGGAACAUCCAGGUGGGAUCAGUCUGGGAAUCAGAGAGAACAUCCAGGUGGGAUCACACUGGGAAUCACGGGAAUAUCCAGGUGGGAUCAAACUGGGAAUCAGGGAGAACAUCCAGGUGGGAUCACACUGGGAAUCACGGGAAUAUCCAGGUGUGAUCAAACUGGGAAUCAGGGGAAUAUCCAGGUGGGAUCACACUGGGAAUCACGGGAACAUCCAGGUGGGAUCAGUCUGGGAAUCAGAGAGAACAUCCAGGUGGGAUCACACUGGGAAUCACGGGAAUAUCCAGGUGGGAUCAAACUGGGAAUCAGGGAGAACAUCCAGGUGGGAUCACAGUGGGAAUCAUGGGAAUGUCCAAGUGGGACAGGGAACAUCCAGGUGGGAUCAGACUGGGAAUCAGGGAGAGCAUCCAGGUGGGAUCAGACUGGGAAUCACAGGAACAUCCAGGUGGGAUCAGACUGGGAAUCACAGGAACGUCCAGGUGGGAUCAUACUGGGAAUCAGGGAGAACAUCCAGGUGUGAUCACAUUGGGAAUCAGGGAGAACAUCCAGGUGGGAUCAGACUGGGAAUCAGGGAGAACAUCCAGGUGGGACAAGGAACAUCCAGGUGGGAUCCCACUGGGAAUCAGGGAGAGCAUCCAGGUGGGACGAGGAACAUCCAGGUGGGAUCCCUGGGACCCACCGGGACAUUCCCAUCGUGCGAUCCCGGGUUUU
This is an RNA transcript of Vidua macroura (Pin-tailed whydah), 1725 nucleotides long. RefSeq lists it as uncharacterized. The transcript has 9 exons. NCBI's taxonomy places the organism in Eukaryota, Metazoa, Chordata, Aves, Passeriformes, Viduidae. The record is from RefSeq and is a predicted model, not a curated record.